Molecule: ribosomal RNA, 253 nt
Filed under: uncultured bacterium
Lineage: Bacteria
Description: partial 16S ribosomal RNA
Rfam family: Bacterial small subunit ribosomal RNA
Source: RNAcentral
UACGUAGGGGGCAAGCGUUGUCCGGAUUUAUUGGGCGUAAAGAGCGUGUAGGCGGCUAGAUAGGUCCGUUGUGAAAACUCGAGGCUCAACCUCGAGACGCCGAUGGAAACCAUCUAGCUAGAGUCCGGAAGAGGAGAGUGGAAUUCCUGGUGUAGCGGUGAAAUGCGCAGAUAUCAGGAAGAACACCCGUGGCUAAGGCGGCUCUCUAGUACGGUACUGACGCUGAGACGCGAAAGCGUGGGGAGCGAACAGG